UCGUGGCAGCAGAGUAAUGGAAUAUAAAAUGCGAGUUUCUGGAGCUGGGGCAUCGGAGGGGCCCUCAGCAAGUUGGAUUUCUGGAGCAAACCAAACCCACAGCAGAGGCAAAAACCUUCCAGAAACAGCUGAAGUGCUGUAUCAGAGAAUCAGUCCAAGUGAUUUCCUACAAUCAUUUGAGGGAAAACAGCUCCGUGGCUUGGAAGAGUGGCUGAUGGAGACUUCAAAGCAAGCUGGGAGCAGGAUGGUGCUGUAGCUUCCAGAGCUUCAUGAGCUUCACUUUCUUCGAGUUUUGACUGUGAAUUUGGAGCUACUGCCUUUGAUUUAAUAAAAAAAAAGAGGAAAAAAAUAGG
Molecule: long non-coding RNA, 353 nt
Organism: Chiroxiphia lanceolata (lance-tailed manakin)
Lineage: Eukaryota; Metazoa; Chordata; Aves; Passeriformes; Pipridae
Exons: 2
Source: RefSeq, a predicted model, not a curated record